GAAUAUUGGACAAUUGGCGGAAGCCUGAUCCAGCCAUGCUGCGCGUGUGAAUAAGGCCGUUUGGUCGUAAAGCCAUUUAAGCGGGGAGGAUGAGCUCUUGUUUCAUACCCAUGAUGUUUUGAUGUUAAUCGCAGGAUAAGCACCGGCUAACGACGUGCCAGCAGCCGCGGUAAUACAGAGGGUGCAAGCGUUAAUCGGAUUUACUGGGCGUAAAGCGCGCGUAGGUGGCCAAUUAAGUCAAAUGUGAAAUCCCCGAGCUUAACUUGGGAAGUGCAUUCGAUACUGGUUGGCUAGAGUAUGGGAGAGGAUGGUAGAAUUCCAGGUGUAGCGGUGAAAUGCGUAGAGAUCUGGAGGAAUACCGAUGGCGAAGGCAGCCAUCUGGCCUAAUACUGACACUGAGGUGCGAAAGCAUGGGGAGCAAACA
RNAcentral lists this ribosomal RNA (424 nucleotides) under uncultured bacterium. RNAcentral describes it as "partial 16S ribosomal RNA". It matches the Rfam family "Bacterial small subunit ribosomal RNA", at positions 359 to 774 of the family's 1533-position model. The record is from RNAcentral.